This 253-nucleotide ribosomal RNA is filed under the name uncultured bacterium. Its description in RNAcentral is "partial 16S ribosomal RNA". It matches the Rfam family "Bacterial small subunit ribosomal RNA", at positions 524 to 776 of the family's 1533-position model. The record is from RNAcentral.
UACAGAGGGGGCAAGCGUUGUCCGGAAUUACUGGGCGUACAGCGCGCGCAGGCGGGCCGUGACGUGCCCUGUGACAGCCGUCGGCUUAACCGACGGAGGCCAGGGUAGACGCACGACCUGGAGGCAGGGAGAGGUAAGCGGAAUUCCUGGUGUAGCGGUGAAAUGCGUAGAUAUCAGGAGGAACACCGGCGGUGUAGACGGCUUACUGGACCAUAACUGACGCUGAGGCACGAAAGUGUGGGGAGCAAACAGG